GCUCCCCCUUCUUUGCGCACUGGAGCAUUUGUGUUUUGAGUGCUACUCUCCCCCUCUGCAUUUUGCUAAAUGGUGGUGGGUGUGAGUCAUUGGGUUGUUGAUGUUGGACGGCAGUCUUUGUUUGUGGUGCUUGGUUCGGCAUUCUCAGUAGCGGUCUAGUAAGUUGCAUUUCAAUCUUCAUAGCCAAGUUAAUUGCCUCUGAUAGAGACCAUACGGUGUGCAAGGAUACUUUGUAUUGGAUGUCCACAUGCAACCCCCCAUGUAUCUCGCAAUUUGUUGCCCCUCAGUUUCUAAAAUUCUUCCGUAUAGUCAUUGACAGUCCUCGUUCCUUGCUUGCAGUUUUGAUAUUGUUGAUAGAGGGUUUGCUCGUAAUCUAGAGGAAGAAAUCUGGCCCUCAUCAGUCUCUUCAUCUUUGGCCAUACGUGCACUGGAAUUUGCAUGUAGUCAAAAAAAAUUCUCCACCUCAAGCGUCCAAUCAAGAAAGCUCCCAACAUGAAGGUGGCCAUUGAAGCAAGGCAAGUCAAUUUUAAUUCUAAAAUUGUGGUUGUUGUUUGGAGCCCUCUUGCCGUCUUGGUUUCCAUGGGCGAAGCCUUCCAGUUCUUUAUCACUAGAAGAAUUGUCAUGUGCUUGAUCCCUCUGCAGAUGCAUAAAACCACAACCUCCCCUUGGACGGUUUGCAACCUCAUUAUCUUCGUUCCUGUCACCACCAACAUGAACGCUUGUGAUGGCUGUUUGAAUCUCCUGUAACAUGCAUUCAAUCCCUUCAAAGCGCUGCUGGUUCCUUUGAUCUUGAGAAUUAACGGCUGCCUAAAUGGCCUAUAUGCCACGAUCUUCAUCUUGGGAAUUAACUCUCCCUAUCAAGCCAGGUAAAGCCUUGCUCUGAUGCCAAAUUGGCAUAGCGGAAGACGUGCUAGACAAAGAAAAUAGGGUAAGUCUACUCUCGGAAACAGAAAAUAAAAAAAUUAUGGAAGAGUUGUGUCUUCCGAAGUUGACGCAAAUUGCAGAAAGAAAAUAAAUCACCAACUCUUCUUAUUCCAAA
Juglans microcarpa x Juglans regia is the source of this 1039-nucleotide long non-coding RNA. RefSeq lists it as uncharacterized. The transcript is spliced from 2 exons. The record is from RefSeq and is a predicted model, not a curated record. NCBI's taxonomy places the organism in Eukaryota, Viridiplantae, Streptophyta, Magnoliopsida, Fagales, Juglandaceae.